GGGAAUGUGGCUUAGUGGUAGAGUGCUUGCCUAGCACGCAUGAAGCCCUGGUUUCAAUUACUCAGUACCA
Molecule: transfer RNA, 70 nt
Filed under: Dipodomys ordii (Ord's kangaroo rat)
Lineage: Eukaryota; Metazoa; Chordata; Mammalia; Rodentia; Heteromyidae
Rfam family: tRNA
About the family: Transfer RNA (tRNA) molecules are approximately 80 nucleotides in length. Their secondary structure includes four short double-helical elements and three loops (D, anti-codon, and T loops).
Source: Rfam by way of RNAcentral